This 17707-nucleotide long non-coding RNA is filed under the name Daucus carota (carrot). Its description in RNAcentral is "long non-coding RNA (DCAR_LNC001360)". Lineage: Eukaryota; Viridiplantae; Streptophyta; Magnoliopsida; Apiales; Apiaceae. The record is from RNAcentral.
AAUGAACUCAAAUCAAAAGUGGAGGAUUUGGAGGUUAAACUCCGCGAAGAAAUGAAGAAGUCAAAAUGUAUCACCGAUGUAGUGUAUGAUACUCAGAGCACCUCUACAAACGUGUAUCACACUGCUAGGUCAUCCAUGAGUUAUGGACCUGUGAACAUGGAAGUGGAUGUCAAAAUUCUAGGGUCACAAGCUAUGAUACGCGUACAAAGUCCUGAUGUGAAUUAUCCGGCUGCAAGACUGAUGGACGCUCUUAGAUUGCUAGAGUUCCGAAUUCAUCAUGCAAGUGUGUCAAGUGUCAAGGAAAUCAUGCUUCAAGAUGUUGUCAUCAAGGUUCCUGAUGGACUGACAAGCGAGGACGCCCUCAAAACCGUGCUGCUGAGAACACUGCAGAUGUGAUCCAUCAAGACUGCUGUUCUGUUGGAACUUAAUAUAUGUAUCGUAGUCGCCUAGUGAUUAACGUGUGUUGUAAUAUCGAUCAGCUUCUUUGUCGUAGUAGACUUAAUUCUCCUUAUGGAACUUCUAUCCUUAAUUAUAUAUAUCUAUGUGUGUUUGUAUGUUUAUACAUAGACACAUAAAUAUAUAUGCUAGGUUUCUUAUUUUGUGUUCUGAAAAUGUGAAAUCUAAGGUUGGAAGCAAUGUUGAGUGAUGAAGUUGAUGUUAUGUUUUCUGUAAAAAUUUAAUGUGGAAUUGAAGUACGUUCUUCAUUUGUUUUCUUCUUCAAUUUAGUUAAAUCUCCAAGUUCAUAUUUUGUAUAUACAUGUAUAGGUAUAUAUCAAUCUGGCUUGAUUAUGAUGAGUAUCCGAAAACUUUGCAAAUUUUACAGUUGCAAAUGCAGUAUAUAAACAGCUUUGAAUAUAUACUUAUCGGGUGAUCUCUAAACUUCUUCUGCUUGAGUGAUUCACAAGGCAAUACAUAGUUUUGAACCGUAAGUCAUGUGAUAAUAUAUGAUCAUCACAUAUCUAAAUACUCAGUGGUAAACCGUAGCGUGGUGCCCUAAUUAUUAUUGUAAAAGGUAAAUCAACGCUAAACUCAUUUUUGAAAAUUGCCGGAGAAAAUUAAGGUUACGAGUCCCUAUCAGAUUACUCAGAAAAUUAGGGUGAUAAAUGACAAUCUUGGCCGAAUUCAGUUCCCGCCCCUUACUUUCUGUUUCUGAAGCAAUAACAUGUAAUAAUUCUUACAUAUGUGUGUUAUAUGUGUGUGUGGAUAAAUUAUUCUUUAUAUAACUGAUAUAUCCUCGAUAAAUAUUUGCCCUGAUCUUCAAAUCGAAUAAUUAAGUACAAAACUUCAAGCGGAGCUCGAAGUAAGCUAUCAUCCGUAGAGCCCUUCCCCUUACUUGCGAUGCCAUUCUUGUAGAUCCAGACGUUGCUUAGUUGGUUAUAAAAAGAUUUGAUUUAAAGAUCUUAGUUAGUUGCUUAGUUGUGCCAAACUAAUUAAUUAGUUUGUACAGUCACUGGAUCUUACGAAAUGAAACUCGAUUCCCCGUCUACUAGCUGCGCCUUACAAUGGAGAAUUUCAUACCUUCAACUCAUCAACAUAAUUAUAUCACACAUUUUGACAAAAGAUGAUCAUUUUGGAGGACUAAAGAGAAAUAUAACACUUAAAUUAUGACUAAAUUACCGGUUCUUCACAAUCUUGUUAAUAUCGGCAAGAGUGAAAUCCGAAUAGAUUCUUUUUCUUGAUAAGAUAGCCCCUCACUUAGAUAUUUAUUAUUUUUGAAUUUAUUAUAUAUUUUUAAUGUUCCCUCCUUUAAAUGUCCAAUAUUAUUUUUGGGUCCUUAAUUCAUCCCGUACAAAAUUCAAUAAAUCGAAAUAUUGGGCGUUUAAGGAUUUAAUUUUGAAAUUCAAGUCCCCUCACCCCCACAGUCUGAAAAUUUGAUUUCAUGUUAACUAACUAUUUUUCUUAAAAAAACAUUGGCUAUUAGGAUCACGUGCAUCAUAUAUUCUCAACAAUUGUGCAACAGAAAUCCUCCACCUGAUCUGUCAUAGAUAUAUCGAGAUCAUCAAGAGUCCAUAGAAUUAAUUAAGAAGACUGUCUCCGAAUUAAGUGUAUAUAUAUCCACAAACCUUGUUCGGAGUGCUAACUUACAACAAAUUACUCUAGAAACUCAGUGCGAUCUUCUGAAAAUUCACGAAUAAAUUAGAAUUAGAUGUGUUAUACGUGGAAUUUAGUUCGAAACUUCUAAAAUUUAGUUACGUAAAAAUAUACUCCCUCCGUCUCAAUUUAUAGGUCCAUUUUGGAAUAAACACAUAUUAAGAAAAAAGUUGAUUAGAUGGAAUCUUAUCUCAUGUAUCAUUAAUUAGUGUAUUGAUAAGUGAGAAUAUUGUUGAGUUUCAAAAAAAUCACAAUAAAUAUAGGGAUUUAGUGCAUUGAGAAAUGAGAAUAAUGUUGAGUUUCAAAAAAAUCACAAUUAAUAUGUAGAUAAAUUUGUAUUGAAAGAAGAGAGGGACAAGUAUUUUGGGACAAUUUUUUUUUUCUAAACUGGACCUAUAAAUUGAGACGGAGGGAGUAUAUAUAAACAUAUACCCAUAAUUAAUUUUAAUAUAAAAUUUGCAAACUAUAUAUUGUAAAAAAUAUUACGAGAAGUUGCAGAUGAUUUAUACGGACACAGUUUAGGAAGUCUACAUAACACUACUGGAUCAUUAAUGUUUACCAACCACGUCAGACGUAUUGUACCAAAAAGUGUAUAUAUGACUUAUUAAAAUAAUGUUAUUAUUUUGUGAAGGAUGUAAUUAAAAUACACAUUAUUAUUUUAUCAAUUUUAAACUGUUUUAAGCAUCAUUUGCCGUUGUUGGUUAUUAAAUUUGUUUUGAAAUGUGCUUAUAAUCUUUAAUAUAUAUAGAAAGAAGAGGUGAGUAAGUUUUUGGUUUCCCUUAGUAGUGGUUUUGGUAAUAAAAAAUAGGGUUAUAAUAAAAAAAAUAAGAUUUAAUCUGUUAAAACCGAGAAGAAAGAUUAAUCAAAUAUUAAUCAAAUAAUCAAUUAAUAAUUAAAAAUUAAAUCGAUUUUAUGAAUUACGGAAGAAAAAUUAAUGGAUGAAUAAUCAUUAAUUAAUUGACGAAUUUUGGAAGAGAGAUAAAAAGAUGUCCCUCCCAACAAAUUUGACUUUCUUGCAAAUGUUAUAAUUUAGAGCACCCUGUUAAAUUAUGGCAGUCCCAUACUCCCAUCCUUCGGGAGGAGUGUUGUGUCUUUUGAUACGGAAUAAAAAUAUAUUUAUAUUUUUAUUACAUAUAUUAACCAAAUUAUAAUUUUGCUGUGUGAAAUACUCGUCACAGUAUGAGCGCAAAAUUGUAUUCGUUCUUUGGCUUGGGAUAUAUAAGGAAUUUCGUCAAACAUGUGUACUUAAUUAUGACCGUUAUAUUUUCUACACUCGACCUUUUAUAUAUAAAAAAACAGCUUUGCCACAAGUUAUACAAGUUAUAUAAUUAUAUAAAGUCUUAAUCUAAUGGAAACCUCCCUAUUUAACAAAUUGGAAACUAUCAUUAAAUUUCUAAGAAUAUAUAUCAUUAAAUUCUUCAACAACCCCACCUCCUUCUUCAAGCAGCCUCCUGCUUCCACCUCACUUCCGGCAGUUUUACCCCGCCACCCCAAACAUCGUCAACUUGCCUCACCGGAGAACUCUCACCAACCCUUAACAACAACACGCCACCAUACAAAUCAAUCACAGCCACCAACCACACCACUCUGAGAUAUAUACACACACAUACUAAUAUCUUCCAAUCCCCUAUACUACCAAAUCUCGAACCCGAUCCAGCCAAUUAUCAGCCCACUCUCCCAGAAUCCCGACGCUGCAAUACAUCGAUAGCCAAACCCCCUGCUCUAUCAAACACCGCCUUGAACAACCAUAACACCAACCCAACAGCCAACAUCUUUUUCACUCCGAUCGUCGAGUCUCCCCCUUGAGUAGUACAAUCGCCACUUUCAUCUUCAUCUACACCUCCACUAUCUCCACCACUCCACCACCAUCAAAAUCAAGUACAAGAACAAAUUCACAAACUUUCAUCGAUUUCUGGAAAAUUUCACCAAUUUUUGCAACAAAGAUCACUAAAUUCUAUAGAAAAUAUCACUAUAUUGUACAGAGAAUAUCACUAAACUGAAUUGAUUUUUAGUUUUUAUUUUAAGGGUGUUUUUUAUUUGAUCAUGAGCCUAAUUAUAUAUUUGAGCCAAUGUCAGAUAAAUCAGAAAUCAGAGAUAAUCGAUUGAGUUACAGAUUUAGGAUUAAUCGAAAAUCGGAGAUUAAUUGGAAUAAUUAAUCGGAUGUAUUUUAAUAUUAAAAUAUUAUUUAAUAUUUAGUUAUUAUUGUAUGACUUAUUUGCAUUUUGAAUCCCUUUGAUUUGGGUUAAAUGCAAAAUGGGUAACGCAGGUUGACAAAAUUCAGUUUGCAUCCUCAUACUUUUCAUCUUGUAACAGAUUACACAUUUUUCGUCUAUUUUGACCUUUACCAUUAUUCAAAUGAGGAUAAAUUAGUAAUUUUCAUUUACGUUCUUUCUUGAAGAUCAAAUCAAAUUUUAAUAUAUUAUUGAUAUCCAAUCUUCAAAUAAUCAAAUUGAAUCUCAGGCUUUAUAUUAUUCAUAUCUACCAUCAAAAUAAUUAAAUAUUAAACCAUACGGAACAUGGGAUCAUAUGUGUGCAAUGUGUAUAAAAAAUAAAGUAAGAGUGUGAGAAAGUAGCGAGGGUUCCCGAUGGUUAAAAUCUGUGUAUACUAAUUACGAUCAAGAUAUUUUGUAAGCGUAAAAUUAAGGUGAUUUUACAUUCAUAAUAUUCAGAUAUAUUCAAUUGAGAUUUAAAAAAAAUAUCAGAAUUUAGAAUCUAAAUUUUAAAUUAUUCUAUAAAAUAUGGUUAUAUUCAAUCAUGACUUAAAAAAAAUUGAUGGUAUUGAAUUAAUUCUGAUUCUUAGAAAUUCAUUAAAUGAUAAUAUUCAAAUGCUAAUAAAUUUUUUAAAACUUCAUAAAAUAUUUGAUUUCGUUGGAUUAUUCGAUCUAUUUUAUAAGUUUUAAAAUUUUACCGUAAUUCACGAGAUUUUGAAAAAAAAAUCACCAAUCAUGAAAAUUACAUGUAAAUAUGUAAUUCAUUAAUCAACUUUGCAACUGUUUAUCUAGAAUUUGCUAGACUUCGAAAAAAAUUUCCAAACUACAUGUAAUUCAUUAAUCAUGAAUUGUUAUCCAUUCAUUAAAAUUUCAUCGGAUAUAUACCUAAUAAUAAACUUUUUUCAUGAAAUGUUCAAUUUGCUUUCACCGUUCCGGUGAGUGCUUAAAGGUUCUAGGUAGAGUUGCGGUUAAGUUAUGUAUGUGUACUUGUGAUAUAUAUUACAAAAUUUUAGAAAUAAUUUUGUGUUGGUCCAAUUUUUGCUCUAAACUAUAACAUUUAUAGUAGUUACUCCCUCCAUCCCACCAGGAUGUUUACGUUCACUGUUUGAACGCAUUAAUUUUGAGACUCUUAUAAAGUAUAGUUCGAUAAUAUUUUUGUAAUUUUUUUUUUCUGAAUAAAAGUUUAAACGUCAAACUUUUUUUUCAGGAUUUUUUUAAAAAUAAAUAUAUAAUGUAAGUAUAUUUUAUAGGAGUCUUAAAAUACGUGCCAAAAAAUAACGUAAAGAAUGGUGGGACAGAUGGAGUAAUAUAUAUUUCUAAUGGUCUCUGGUAGAAGACGAUCGCUGUCUCAUUUUUCAUCUUUUGAUAUUAAGUUCACAAAUUUAAUUUCAUUUAAUAUUUUUUAAAUAUUUAAGGUCCGGUCUCACCUCCAUUGACAUGUACAUCUUCACUGCAACGUUCUUUAGUUUUAAUUCGUCCGCAUACAAUAUCCUCUUAUAUCCUGAAUUUACCGAAAGAAAAAGAAAAAAUAUCAAUUAUAUAAAUUUAAUAACAGCAAAAGAAGCAGAACAGCUUCAGAGGAGAGCAUGGGCUCGCCAUGGGACCAGGGAUGUGAGUUGGAGCACGUCCUUCCGUUUUCAAUCAGUACAAGAAAAGAAGAAAGAAAGUUGUCUAGAGAGGACCAGCUAGGCCAGCAAAAAAAAGGAUACAGUGUUUACCCUUUAUCAAUCGAAUAUUUUAUUCUUUUAAAUAUGAAUAUAAUAUUCUGUACGGAUCGAGAAAAUGAUAAUGAAAUUAUUGAAAAGCAAAGAAACCCUCCAGAAGAAACCAUACUUGAAAAGGAGCACAGUUGGAUUAUUAGGUCAAGCGUGAAAUGGAUAAAUUACAACUUUAAUUUUCUCACUGAGUUUAAAAGAGUGUAUUAUUAACCUCGGCAAAGACAUGUCGAUGAAAUAAAGCCCAAAGUGAUGGCUUUAAUUUAUUUCGCCGAGGUUUAGUUCAGGAAAUUCUUGUAACUAUAGAGUAGUACUGGCUGGUCGGUCGUCUACAGAUUACUUUCGUCUUUUGUUCUUUGGAACUGCUUUUCGCUUUGAUUCUCUCUUUAUCCGCUAUAAAAUGAACUUUUUGCUUGACGAAUUUUAAUAUUGAAUUGUAUUUUGUGCUCCAUAAUUGCUUUGAUAAGGAAAAAUUAGAAGAUCAGACAAAGUAUAAAACUAAUCUAACAAUUUAGGAGAAUGUUAUACAAUAGAAAUCUCGCCCACCAUCCAUUAUUAAAUUUAAAACAGGACUUUCAAAAUUAUGAUAAACAUUCCUUUCAUGGACAAAGUUGUUUGAAAUUGAAUAAUUUACCGAAAGUGUUUCACGUCCAAAAGAUUCGAACUCCCGGAGGCACUUUUCACUUCACCGGUUCUUCUUGGAAAUUAUCGAGCACAACAUCAAUGAUUCGAUAGAGAAACAAGAUUCUAUAGUUGAUAAUUCUGGAAGUGAUAACAAUGUAUACACAUCACUUAUAUUCGUAGACGCGGAAAACGAAAUACAUGUAGAUUUUGGAGUUGUUUUUUUUGACUUAGAAGCACCAUGCUUUGUAAGAAACGGCAAGCGCAAACAAAUUAAAUUGCUGCAAAUCAAAGAUUUGGUGCUUUUAUUGCAUGCACAACUACACGUGAAAUAAUGUUAAACGUUUUCCAACGGUUUUGAUAUAUUUAAAAACAACAUAACCCUCGUAUUUAACUCGUUAAACAGUAAUAUAAAAUCUGAACUGCACGUCCAUUUCAUUUUCUACUUUAGAACUGAAGCCGCACAUAAUUGACUACUUAUAACGAGCACAGUUCAGAAAAUAUUGUGCAUACAUAUACUACUUCACAUGUUAUAAUAAAUAUUGAUCUAGAAAGAAACGAAGAAAAGACCACUUUAUCAGUCUGAGAUUGGAAGAAACAUAAUUUUUUGGGCUGAACAUGACAUGAAUCAAUGACAAAGCCAAAAUCAAAGGCUUUUGAUUUUGCAGAAGCAGCAGUUGUCCAGGGACUGUGUUAGAAAAUACAUACACAUAAGGUCGACUAGUGCUUGCUGCUCUUCGACACAGAGUCUCGUCUUUUUAUUUUGGAACUGCGUUUUUAUUUGAUUCUCUUUACCAUUAUAUUGCGGAGACGAAGUUCAGCUUUGCCAGAUCUAGUAUGCAUAUAUGUUUUUAAAAUGAUAUUUGUUGGUUAUUUGAUCGUCAGUGGGCGCAUGGACAAAAUAGUUAUCUAUUCAUGUAAGUUGAAACUUCCAGAGUAUCAAAAUGUGAGGGUUCUAGGAAGCACUUGAAAUACAAUUAAACCAAACGGACCGAAUAUAUCCCGAUUAGAGUAGAUAUGGGCAGAGUAUGAUGUAAACAACCAUACCUUUACUCUGAAGAUUGUUUCCGUGAGAUCCAAUGUAAUUCAGAAUAUAGAAGAUAACGUGUGAUUUUGAGAUGGUGUCUUAGCCUUUAAUAUUAUUCACACAGGACUUAUAUACGUAAAAGACGUGAUCACGGGGAGGUGACUAGUCUAUAGAGAAGCUGUCAUCAGCCGGAAGGAAACGGUUACCAUUAGUUAAAAGUCUGUUCUCCUUAAUUAUGUUAAGCUAUCAACAGAAAAUUAGUAAGAAAAUCAUAAGAUAGUUAUACAAUACAAAGCUUAAACAAUUAAAAUUUUAAAUUAUAAAUUUUGUAAAAGAUUAAAAAUCCUACAAACGAACUUAUUUAUUUAUAUAUAUAUAUUAGUUUUUGCUGAAUAUUUUUUUUAUUUUUUUAGAAAUCAUAAACAACAUAAUGAUUAUAUAAAUAAAAAACACAUUAUUUUGAAAAAAAAUUACAUGAUAACAUGAUUCUGAAAAUAAAUUUUUUACUAAAAAUUGUAUAUAAAAUAGGAUCAAAUGUCAAUACAUACAAGAUUUUUUAUCUAAAUUAUAACAUAGUAAAAAAAGUAAAUUAAGAAGAUUAUAAUGUAAUUAAAAAAUAACUAAAAACAUAAUAAGUUAAAAAUUAAAAAAUGUUUAAAACAGUGCUCGGCGCUAGUAAUAAAUCAAAGUAAAAUAUAUUAUAAGCGGAUCAAUAAUGACUAAAAAUGUGUUACAAUAUGUACCCUCUCUGUACAUAACCAAUUAUGCAGAAAUAUCAGAGCAAUAAUAGCAAGGGAGAAUAACAUUCUUCUAGACGUAGUAUAAUUCAGAAAAUUACCCUGUAAAAGACAUGGAAUUAUUACAGUACGAUAGUAAUUAUACAAAAGUAAAGAUGCAUGGAAAUUGCUAGGCCUCUGCGACAUACUACAAAUAAAGUGAAGUAUUAUUGAUAGUACGCAACUUUUGUCACUGUCUUGUUCGUUUUCUUGUAAUAUUACAGUGUGAUCACAGAAAAGUAUUGUCACCAGCUAGGGCCAUUACGUUAAAUACGAAUCAAACUUCGAAAAUUUAUAGCAACGUCUUUUAGGUCAACGACGCAUAAUGCAUAUCGAGGGACAAGUGUGUGCUAAGCUUUUUUUCGACGUAUGUAUCACAUUUUUGAUUUCUGAAUGGUCCAGUACUCUUUAGUUUCAGGAGGAGAAGGGCUUCCAGAAGUCGAUCAUGAGAUUUAACGUACCCAAAUUAGCCCUUAUUUCUCGGCCGUUUGAUGCCAAAAAGUUGUUGGCAGUGAAAUCAGUCGUUAUCCCAGGGAAAUGCACUUAUCACAAUAGCAAGUCCCUAACAAGUAUAUAUAUUAUUUAUUACAAUAACCAUACCGUUUACCAUCCUGUUAUUCGGUGAAUGAUUUUAAAAUAAUUUUAACAAAUCAGAUAUCAUAAUUAAAUUUUAGACUAAUCAUACUUAUUAUAUAACAAAAUAAUAGUAACUAUUAGAUUAAACUCAUUAAAGAGAUGGAUGGACAUGAUCGAAUUAGACCUAAAUCUGACAAUAUAUUUUCAAGAAGGAAACUCGGAAAAUUUAUAAUUCUUCUCCCAACUCCUUCUCUCGCUCCCCAAUCAUCAAAUAUAUUAUAAAUAUAUUUAUGCAUAGGCGUUGUAUAAAUUAUUAAAAAUAAUAUAAUUUUGUAUGUAUUUUUAAUAUUAUCUUUUUAAUAUUUAUUAUUCAUAUUGUAACAUGAUUUAUUAGCAAUAAUUCUAUGUUUAUUUUUAAAUUAUAUGAUAACUAAAUGUUGAUUCAUAUCAAGUAAUUAAUUAAUUAAGUUUAAAAUAUAUUGUUUGAUUUUAAAAAAAAGUUUAAAAUAUAUUAUAAUAUAUAUUAAUUAAUUUAAAAAUAUUUAAUAUUUUUUACAAAUUGUUGCAAGGUUCUUUGUUCCCGUUCGAACGUGAAUCGAAAAAUAAACUAAUACUCUCUUCGUCCCCUUUUAGUUGUCCCUGAGUGUUAUAUUAAUAUCAAGAUCAAUACAAGAAUCAUAAUUGUGUCUUAUUAUCAAAAUAAUAAUAUAUUUGAACAAGUAUCGGAGAGAAAGGAAAAGAUAAGAGUAUAGACAUAUGUUAAAAAUGAAUAAAAAUUAAUUUUUUAUCGGUGAAAAUAAUUUAAAAUUUUACAAUAUUAUCUUAAAGAUACAUAAUAGAUGAGCACUUUUUCUUUCAAAUCCUUCAAAUUCUGGUUUGGAACAUUGGAGGAGACAGCUAAUUAGUUAUCACCAAAGCGGACAUUACCACACACCUUUUUGAGUUAUUGUUUCUUGGUUUCAUAUUUAAAUAAAGAAAUUCUAGAAGGAGACCCUACGUUUGAGAUCGUGAGAGAAUGAUUGGGUUUUUAUGAUUGAGCUUUGACUGAUACAUCUCUCUCUGUUAUUCGAUAAUCAUCCGGCUCCACCUAUUCAAACGUGGGCGCUUAAGUUCGAUCACUAAAGUCCUGAAUUAUCCUGUUUACUCGUGUAGAGUGUAUAUACGAAUGUGAUCACACACAUAGCAUACCUAGAUACAGGAAUCAGAAAGUUUUAAAUAUACGUGAUGUCAAAAUAAAAGAGAAUUGAUAAUUAACGUAUAUAUCUUUAACAUUUUUAUACAUCUUAUAGAAUAAUCUCUACUUGAUUGUCAGAUGUAAUUUUUGAAGUUCUUGAAUACGCAAGUAUUUGAAUUCUAGAAUGGACUUUAGACAAAAUAGGUCCUAUUUAAUUUACAACCCCUAAACGAGUAAAAGGUCUAAAUAUCAUAAUUUAUGAUUGAAAUGUCCUAAAUAUGAUAUAACGUUAAAUUUAUAUUAUAUAGACUUUCAAUGCUAGAUUACAUAACAUUAAUUUAUAAUAUUACAUCGUCUAAUAUCAAGAUUUAUAAGAAUAAAACACUAUGUAUUUAAGGGUAUUUUCUUAGGUGAUAUUUAUGUCAUUAUUUUCAUUUGAUCUUAGUUACUGAAAAACUAUUUGAAACAUUUUAUCUAGUAUAUAAUUGUCUAUAACCUGUUUCGUGUAGGCAUGGCCUGCAUAAACCGCAGAAAAGCUGUGAAUAUGGUCGGUAAAUUGUUCUACUACGCAACAAGCGGGGAAUGGCCUAGUACUGCAACUGGGAUCUAGAGUAUAAAUACGUGUUUAUCUUAAAAAUUGAAGAUUAAAACAUCGUUACCAUAUCUUGCUAUAUAUUUGGAUAUAUGUUCCUCUAUCUAAAUAAUAAUACUAAGUAUUACUAUUAAGAAAUUAAUAUCAAUGUAUUGAAAACUUAGUAUUUAGGAAAAAUUUUGAAAAAAAAUUCGAGGUACUAGCAUGUUUUUACAAGCACCGGUAUUGUUUCAUUUACAUUCGCCAUAACUAAUUGACACCAAAUUAAUGGUCGUGCAAAAUCCAUCAAGUUCCGCUCCCGGUUGUAAUCAAACUCUUACAAAUUUGUUCACCAUCUUCUCUCAAAAAUUAUGGUGCUAUGAAACUGCUUACUACUUAUGUUCAAUUUUUUUUUCACGAAUAAUUUGUGAUUUGGGUUGAACCCCCUGCACAAACUAAAAACAAGACAGUGAUGAACAAUUGUUUUAAAAAACUAGUCUGGGCCCGUUUUAAUUGGAACUGAAAUACAAAAUCUGACUGAUAACGUGACUAACCUGUGAUCUUUUACGAAUUCGGCCAUGAAUUACCAUCACAUUCCUCUUUUGAAGAUUACUCCGCAAAAACCAAAUUUUUAUUACAACAUCCUUAAAAGUAAGAAGCACAGUAAAUAAUUAUUAUAAUUUUAAGAACACAGUUUUUUAACAAGCGUUUGUUAUAUAAUUAUCCGCUGUUUUUUAAUAUUUAGAUUUUUUUUAUGUGCAUAUGAGAGAUCAUUAUUUUAUCUGUGAUUUAGAUAUCUGCUCUACAAUAUUUUUCUUUUCAUGAUAUUUUUUCGUGUAUAAAUUAAUAACAACAAUCACUUGUCAGCGAUUCUCUCAUAAGAUUGAAGAGAUAAAUUGGUAAUAUUUACAGUAAUGCCACGCAUGAAAACUGAACCAGCAAGACUAAAAGUCUAAAAGUGAGAUUAUUUUUUGUAUUGCAGCAGAAAAUGUCAUAAUCGUUUCGGCGUGUGACUCUAAAAAGCAUGAACCGGUUAACUGUAACAUUCCGUCCACUGGAAAAGAAGAAACUGGAUAGGGACCGUAACGUGUGGGAGGGGAAUAGUGAAUCACCCACACGGCAUAGCUCACCUUCUAGAUAGUCGUGCCCAAAGUCGAAAGCCAAGAUACUAUAGCAGUCAAGGCCUCUUACUACAGGACAGAUUAAUUCAAAUACAGAGCUGUGGUCCUUUUGCUAAAUCACUAACAACAAUAAUGAUCAUUGUCCCAACAUUAAUCACUUCAAAUUAAGAACCUAAAGUGCAUUCUGCCUGAUUAAGUAACAUAAAGUUUGCAAGUAAGAGCUAGUAAUCCUAUAUUCCAUUUACUUUAGUCUUGGAUGUUACCUAGCUGAGAAACAUUGAUCAUACAUGUAGGCGUUCUAUCAAAACCGAGAGAGAAUAUUUAAUGUUGUUGACAUAGAAUAUAUACUUUUAUAUAUAUGUACACUGUGGAUGGGGAGAAAUAGAGAUUUUAUUCUGUAAUUAUGAAUUGUUUCGUGAUUAGCUUGAAUAUUCCAUUAAUGCUUGUCACGCAUUAUGAACUAAAGAGUAUGAUAGUGUUGAUUCGUAACCAGAAUUUCCAAGCAGUGUAGAAUAAGAAACAGUAUAAGUGGUCCGUAAAAUAGAAUGGUACUCUGCCGCAGUCGUAGCUUUUAACAUACAAAUCAAAACUAGGAGACGCAUAGCUAGAGGUUCGCGGACACACAGCAAUCAUACAAUUUCUCCUUGUCGUUUGCAAUAAUACACACAUAUGUAUGAAUCUCUUGCUUUAUUUUCAUUCUCGACCCAGCCAGAUCUGUUUCGAUUUUGAAUCAAAUCUUACCACUCACGCUCUAUAGUGAAGUUAUCCCCAUGCACUCACAUUUUUCGUCAUCACCGUGCGUCUAGAAGCAGCAUACAUGCUAAGCCCUUCAUUGAUUUGUAUUAAUGCAGUAAUAAAAAUCCUCUUCCACUGAGAAAAGUUUAAGUAAAUACUCCGCAAGUAAUUGUCAUUUCUUCAAAAUCAUAAAUCUCGAUUUGAACUUAAAUUAGCUAGGCAUAUAUUUUACGUUUACUCCCGACUAAUUCUAAACAACAGUCAAGUCUUCUUAUUACAUUUUUCGGUAACUUUGAGUAAUGUUUCGGUAAUUCUAAAUAACAGUAAAAAGUGAACACUCAUUUUAAGAUUUUAAGUUGUUGGAGUGAUAUCAACAACGUCUUUUAAGGAUUAAAAGUGCGACAACAUUAUUCACAAGUCACCUCUCUAAAGUCUAAAGUAUGAACGUGCAUAUUGAGAUUGUGUUAUUGUAAAAUUCUAUUCCAUUGCUUAUACAAAUUAAUCUGUAAUUUACGGUAAGCAGGAUACCGAAUCUUGACUCACUUUUUACAUUAAGAUACAAACACAAAUCGUAUGUUCAAAGUCCUAUUACUGUUUCCUUUAAUAUAUACUCAGAGCAGGUUAGGUGAUGGGCCAUCUGUGCUAUAAUAUGCGUCAUAGAAAUUUGUCAAGAGUCUAGUCCGUGAAGUAGCAGUCAAGGUAAGUAGAGUGCAUAAUUUUACAGCGUCAUAAUCACUCCUUAAUCUAAUUAAUUAAUUAUAGUAAUUAUAUAUAAUUGCGCCGUCAUUGAGAUCAGUUACUACUCCUUCUCUUUGACCUAUUAUUCUCUUGAUUUUUUUUCCAUAUAAUUUUAAGAGUUUUGAUCAUAAUUUUAAAAUUAUUAUUAUCUAAUUCAUUUUUAUGAUAGUAUAUUAAUGUCAAAGUUUUUUAAAAAUACAUGAAAAAAUCCUAGACAACUACGCAACCAAACACCUCAAGGAAAAGCAAAAUAUAUGGGUCUUAAUUAUCGCUAUAUAACCUCAAAAGCACGGACUGUGUAAUUAAUUACUCCCCUGUUGUCAAAAAUAUAAGACUAUAAGAAUGAAUAUCCCUAAAAGUACGAAAAGAAUGUUUACUUAUCAAAAAUUAUGUUUUCAUUUCAUACAAUAAAAUUACUAUUCUAAAUUUUAAUAUAUUAAUUUGAGAUUCCAAUUAAGGAGUCCAUGAACCAAAUACCCUUUGUCUAAGUAUCAUUUCCAUAUUGGUUUUCAUCUUCAUGCAACACACGAAUUCUAUACUAAUGUUAAUCGCAGCAUUGUGAAUUAACAAAGUUCUAGAAACUAUUUUGCUUGUGCGCCCACACCUGCUAUUUGAAUUAUCAUUCCACUUUCAUCAUUAAAGUUUUACAAAGUGGAAUGACCUGACCAAAUUAACCCUACAGUUACGAACACUAUGAUUUCAGUUCCCCUGCACUGCAAGCCCGUACAUGAACUGAUCAUAUGAAUAUCAACAUAUUACAAACCGAAAUAUUACACGGGGGUUAGAAUCUAUAUAAUGUUGCUUACAAACUGAUGGUUUUUUAUAUGCUUUCUUGCUUAUAUUCUUCUCUAGUGUAAGGUCGCGAUAGUUCUUAAGUUCGUUAUCAACGAAUGAACGGUACGCAUAAUAAUUAUGUACUGCCGUGUUGCUUUAAAUACCAAAAGGGUAAAAAGACAGGUCUAAAACAAUGUUAGUUGCAGAUUUGAGUGGAAAGUGGUUUUUUAAAGAGUUAAAUAUAGAGUGUCAGAAAUCAGAAUUGAUGUACAAAGCGUGCAGAAAAUGAGCAUGUUAAAAGUUAAAUUAAAGAAGAAACAUGUCUUAAAAAUUCAAGUCAUGGUAGCAGUUAUAAGCUUCGUAUAUCAACCCACUCCCAUCACAUGAAAAACAAAUUCUGAUACCUGAUAUAUGCACUAGUAAAUUAUUUUAUUUACAAAAGAUAUAUAUUUAAAAUGAUGAGAAAGACAGUUAUUAGUAUAUGUACUUUGUAUUGGUGUUUAAUUAAUCAAUUCCCGCGUUAAGAGAUAUCAGGAUAAAAGUGAUUGUUUUAUCAGAUCUCUUUGUUUUUGUUGUUUAUCACGGGUCAAUCAUUUUAGAGAAUUUCAUGACGUGCACUCUGAUUUAAAAAAAAGAAUCAUGCAUUUAGAUAUUAUUUACUUAUAUAUAUCAUGCAAUACUUUGUCUUGUACUAAGCUGAAGAUAUAUACAUAAAAACAACUUCCGUACCCUUUCACAAUAAGGUGUCGAUAUGCGUAAAUUUUAUCCUCUCAAUCUGCUUAUAUUUUAUCCUUCCAAACACUAUUCUAAGCGAGAUAUAGUGGGUAGGGUUGAUUUAUAAUAUUAUAAAUAAACUGCUAGAGAAAUGUUUACAAGGGUUUGAGAUAAGAUUGUUAAGUAAUACAUUAGUGUAAACAAGAAGAAUAUCUUUCUAUAAAUACUAACGAAACAUACCGAUCAGUUGAGCAUUAUAUAUCGACUUCCCUGGGCUUGAAUAACAAGUGAUAAACACUUAUAUAUAUUUUCCAAUCACAAACCCUUAAUCUCAGAUUAUCUAGACUUUGCAAAUCAAGUUACUGAUAAACAAAUUCCAAUGACAAUUGAUGCCGUAAUCUCCCCAAUCAUAUUGAUAUGCUGGAAACGGUACAAUCCGAUCAGGUUCGAAAUUGACAAGUCUACAAUGGUAUAGCUUGGAAACAAAUGCUUCAAGUUCAAUUUGUUAAAGGAAACCAUACACAUACAUAUUUAGGAAAAUAAAAUCAACAGCGUUCAUACAUAAUUAGCCAGCAGAAUAUUACCAGGUACUCCUAUCCUACAAGGCUGCAACAUUACAUUAAUCUGUGUAUUGAGUGCUUCUGUUACCUAAUCAUAGUAAUUAAUUACACUGAAUUCUAGUAACUUAUGGGAAUACAUACUGCUUGUCUAGCUAGCUAUGAAACAACUAUGCCCUGAGCAAAAGCCAAAGUCCAAUAACAAAUUAGUGAAAAGGUCAUGGAAUAACAUAGUGAGUUCUUCUCUGUCGUCCCGGGUUCCAUGUUCGAGGUUCUCGCUUAGUCGAAAAUUAUUAAAUGAAAUGAUAACUACUUUAUAUAUUACCUUAAAAGUUAUACACCAAAGCAAAAAUAUACGAGGUAAAAGAAAAAAAAAAGAGAGAUUUAGAAUAAUUAAUAAUUAAUGAUAUGAAUGAGAGCUCUGGUCAACAUACGUGAACCCUCAAGUGGAACCCUCCACAUCCGUUUUAACUUAGAUGUUGUCGUGUGUGAUGCUCUCGCCCGGACCCCAUGCUAUUUUGUUGCGCGCGCCCAACGCUUGUGUAAGGCGUACCUCAAACACUCAUGCACUAUCUAAAUACAGUACAUUCUACACACAUUAGUAGUGCUAGUUACUUGCUAGGUAGUAAAAUGUUAUAGACAUUUUAUGCUACAAUCUUUUAAACAUUUUUUAAUUUUUUUUAUUUUCUAGAAGUUUCCGCUGGCCCACAAUAUCAGUAUUUUUAUAAUUAUUUGCUAAUUUGUAGUUAAGUCGACAUUCUCAUCUUAUAAAUACAGCCGCUCAUUGGCCUGAAAAAUAGAGACAACAAGAGCACCGAGUAUCAUUGCUUUACUUCUCUCUUUGAGACUCUCUCUAUUCUCUAUACCUAGCUCUUUCUUUUCCUUUGAGUUUUUGGUAAAAGAUACAAAUAACCCUAGCUACUUGAUAUGGAAGACCUCAUCUCUUCUUCCUCAUCGUCUUCGUUUCUUUGUCACGGCGGAGCAUCUCCAACCAUCCAACAACGACUUCAAUUCAUCAUGCAGAGCCGCCCUGAGUGGUGGAUGUACUACAUCUUUUGGCAAACUUCGAAAGAUAAUUCCACUGAUCGCCUUGUUCUUUCGUGGGGCGAUGGUCACUUCCGAGGCAAUAAAGAUUUUAUGCUCAAGGCUGCCAACAGCAAUAUUGGACUUGGACCGCAAGAUCAGCCACAGCAGCCGCAUCCUAAAUUUGGGUUCGAGUUGGAGAGGAGGAAAGUUGCUAAGGGGAUUCAAUCACUCUUUACUGAUAGCCUGCCAGGCAUCGACGGUGUUGUUGAAGCUGAUUUCCCUGAUUCUGAGUGGUUCUUUAUGGUAUCGGUGACUAGAUCGUUUGCUGCUGGAGAAGAUAAUACUGUUGGCCAGGCUUACAGUUCGGGUUCCUACGUUUGGUUGGCUGGUGAUCACGAGCUUCAGUUUCAGAACUGCGAUCGUGCUAAAGAAGCUUAUCUUCAUGGAAUUAAAACACUUGUUUGUAUUUCAACUCCAUAUGGUAUUAUCGAGUUGGGUUCAUCCUAUGUGAUAAAGGAAGACUGGGGUCUAAUUCACUUGGCCAAGUCUCUAUGUAGCCCUGAUAACAACGGUACUAAUAAUAUGCCUAUAAGCAACAUGAGUAGCCCUGGUGCAAUUGCUUACGCUCCUCCUCAGAAUAGUACUCGAAGUCUUUCCUUUUUUGAUAUUAACGCUGUUUCGGGAGACGAGGAAGGGAACGUAAAGCCCGAAAAGAAACUUACGAAAGGUGGAAGAUCAUCUUCCGAUUCUGGGAAUUCUGAUUUUGAGAGCACUCUUGCUCCGGAUUCUAGUAUGACAACAAGGAUGAAGAAGAGAGGAAGGAAUGGAGCAAUGUCCGGACGAGACUUAGCACAGAACCAUGUAGAGGCUGAGAGGCUCCGUAGGGAGAAGCUGAAUCACCGAUUCUACGCUCUCCGAAGCGUGGUUCCCAAUGUGUCAAGAAUGGACAAGGCGUCUUUACUUGCGGAUGCAGUCACAUACAUCAACGAACUAAAAUCAAAAGUGGAAGAUUUGGACGGAAAGCUACGUCAAGAGAUGAAGAAGUCGAAAUGUAUCACGGAUGUACUGUAUGAUACUCAGAGCACAUGUACCAACGUAUAUCACACUGCUAGGUCAUCCGUGACUUAUGGACCUGUGAACAUGGAAGUGGAUGUCAAAAUUCUAGGGUCACAAGCGAUGAUACGCGUACAAAGUCCCGACGUGAAUUAUCCGGCUGCAAGACUGAUGGAUGCGCUUCGAUUGCUAGAGUUCCGAAUUCAUCAUGCAAGUGUAUCAAGCGUC